Capsicum annuum is the source of this 387-nucleotide long non-coding RNA. RefSeq lists it as uncharacterized. Lineage: Eukaryota; Viridiplantae; Streptophyta; Magnoliopsida; Solanales; Solanaceae. The record is from RefSeq and is a predicted model, not a curated record. The transcript is spliced from 3 exons.
UAAUUUCAUUUCCCUUAUUCUCCACUGCAUCAACCCUAUUUCAGCUAAAAAAUAUUGACCUUCUCCUUGUUGAAUCCUUGCUUCCUCCGAUAUCUACUUUGGAUCAUUAACGAUGUGCCCUGGAUGCAUGCUGCUGCUACUUGUAUCAACUCUCAGAACUGUGUUCUCCGGUGGAUGGAAUAUUUCUCAUGUUCUUGUGCUCUAUUAAGGGAUUUAGGUUCCUGAAUGGUAUUCUAGAUCCAAUUACGGCCGAUAUGGAGAUAAUGAGAUGCUUGGAACCGUAAGUAAUUGGACUAUAAUGAUUCUUUUGGGUGUAAUGAUUUCAAGUAUCUCACAUGACCCUCCCAUUUUGCUGCGAAUUCUUUUUGAUGGCUGACAUGGAUUAGG